UACGUAGGGGCAAGCGUUGUCCGGAAUUAUUGGGCGUAAAGCGCGCGCAGGCGGUCUCUUAAGUCUGAUGUGAAAUCUUGCGGUUCAACCGCAAGCGGUCAUUGGAAACUGGGAGACUUGAGUACAGAAGAGGAGAGUGGAAUUCCAUGUGUAGCGGUGAAAUGCGUAGAUAUAUGGAGGAACACCAGUGGCGAAGGCGACUCUCUGGUCUGUAACUGACGCUGAGGCGCGAAAGCGUGGGGAGCAAACAGG
RNAcentral lists this ribosomal RNA (252 nucleotides) under uncultured bacterium. Its description in RNAcentral is "partial 16S ribosomal RNA". It matches the Rfam family "Bacterial small subunit ribosomal RNA", at positions 524 to 776 of the family's 1533-position model. The record is from RNAcentral.